This 698-nucleotide ribosomal RNA is filed under the name uncultured cyanobacterium. RNAcentral's name for it is "bacterial SSU rRNA". It matches the Rfam family "Bacterial small subunit ribosomal RNA", at positions 74 to 804 of the family's 1533-position model. The record is from RNAcentral. Lineage: Bacteria; Bacillati; Cyanobacteriota.
ACGAAUCCUUUCGGGGAUGAGUGGCGGACGGGUGAGUAACGCGUGAGAAUCUGCCUUUUGGUCGGGGACAACCACUGGAAACGGUGGCUAAUACCGGAUGUGCCUUUAGGGGUGAAAGAUUAAUUGCCAGAAGAGGAGCUCGCGUCUGAUUAGCUAGUUGGUGAGGUAAAGGCUCACCAAGGCAGCGAUCAGUAGCUGGUCUGAGAGGAUGACCAGCCACACUGGGACUGAGACACGGCCCAGACUCCUACGGGAGGCAGCAGUGGGGAAUUUUCCGCAAUGGGCGAAAGCCUGACGGAGCAAUACCGCGUGAGGGAGGAAGGCUCUUGGGUUGUAAACCUCUUUUAUCAGGGAAGAACCAAAUGACGGUACCUGAAGAAUCAGCAUCGGCUAACUCCGUGCCAGCAGCCGCGGUAAUACGGAGGAUGCAAGCGUUAUCCGGAAUUAUUGGGCGUAAAGCGUCCGCAGGUGGCUCAUCAAGUCUGCUGUCAAAGGCAGGGGCUUAACCCCUGAAAGGCAGUGGAAACUGGAGAGCUAGAGUGCAGUAGGGGUAGAGGGAAUUCCCGGUGUAGCGGUGAAAUGCGUAGAGAUCGGGAAGAACAUCGGUGGCGAAAGCGCUCUGCUGGACUGCAACUGACACUAAAGGACGAAAGCUAGGGGAGCGAAUGGGAUUAGAUACCCCAGUAGUCCUAGCCGUA